RNAcentral lists this small RNA (563 nucleotides) under Pongo abelii (Sumatran orangutan). RNAcentral describes it as "retained intron". The record is from RNAcentral. Lineage: Eukaryota; Metazoa; Chordata; Mammalia; Primates; Hominidae.
GUGCGUACGUGCGUCGUCUCUAUGGUGGCGGCGGAUUUGGACGGACCCUACGAACCAGGAGUCAGGCGAGCCGAUCUGGGGCUGCAGGAUGUUCCGCUGGGAGCGCUCCAUUCCCCUGCGAGGCUCGGCCGCCGCCCUGUGCAACAACCUCAGUGUGCUGCAGCUGCCGGCUCGCAACCUCACGUAUUUUGGCGUGGUUCAUGGACCAAGCGCCCAGCUUCUCAGCGCUGCUCCUGAGGGUGUGCCCUUGGCCCAGCGCCAGCUCCAUGCUAAGGAGGGUGCUGGAGUGAGCCCCCCACUUAUCACUCAGGUCCACUGGUGUGUCCUCCCCUUCCGAGUGCUGCUGGUACUCACCUCACAUCGAGGAAUACAGAUGUACGAGUCCAAUGGCUACACCAUGGUCUACUGGCAUGCACUGGACUCUGGAGAUGCCUCCCCAGGUACCUGCAGGACCAAGUAGGGUGGGGGCAGGGAGUGUUUGCUACGGCUGCAGGAGGGGAUAUUUCUGAUCAUUCUCGCCUUUCAUAUUCAGUACAGGCUGUGUUUGCCCGGGGAAUUGCUGC